RNAcentral lists this ribosomal RNA (380 nucleotides) under uncultured eukaryote. Its description in RNAcentral is "partial 18S ribosomal RNA". It matches the Rfam family "Eukaryotic small subunit ribosomal RNA", at positions 592 to 976 of the family's 1831-position model. The record is from RNAcentral.
CAAUAGCGCAUAUUAAAGUUGUUGCAGUUAAAAAGCUCGUAGUUGGAUUUGUGGCGUGCGGUGGGUUCCGGGCACUUGUUGUCUGAGUAACUUGCUGUUGCCAUCCUUGGGUGGAACCUGUGUGGCAUUAGGUUGUCGUGCAGGGGAUGCCCAUCAUUUACUGUGAAAAAAUUAGAGUGUUCAAAGCAGGCUUAUGCCGUUGAAUGUGUUAGCAUGGAAUGAUGAGAUAGGACUUUUUUGCUAUUUUGUUGGUUUGCGCAAAGAGGUAAUGAUUAACAGGGACAGUUGGGGGCAUUCGUAUUCCAUUGUCAGAGGUGAAAUUCUUGGAUUUUUGGAAGACGAACUACUGCGAAAGCAUUUACCAAGGAUGUUUUCAUUAA